AUCGCUCCUUCCAUUGGGGCCCGAAAGCCACAGGGUUAGAACGCCAGAUGAGACUUUUGAGUCUUUGGUGACCAACCCCAGCUUAGGACGGAAGAAGGAGGAGAGAGAUAGCAGCUGACAUGAUUGGGAACGGAAAAGAAUCAUGAAGACAUAACAAAUCACUCCCAGGCCUUGUCUAAUUGGACUCCUUUUAUGAACCCUGAUGAUGUGAGGGAUCAGAGAAGAAAUGUAUCAUCUCUCCAUAAUUCAAUGGGGGCAAGAUGCUUACAUGAGAUCCUGCUUGGCAACUCAGGUCUGAAGCAUACCACUGCUGUUGCUAGCAUCUGAAUUUGCUCCUUUGCCCAUAGUCUCCUUAACUGGAAAUAUCGCCAUAAAGCUAAAGCUAAGGUCCUCUUCUCUCUUCAUUUUGCAUCUGUGAUCCAAGAUUGGAGAGUGGAUGAUAAAAGCUGCCAGUUCAUAAAUGUCCCAUCAUGAUAGUGUUCCAGUUUGGAUCUGGGACAGCUUCUUGUUCCUAUGCACAGUUUCUCACCAAGUGCUAUAUGCUCUUCACCUGACCUGUUCCCCUUUUCCACAGAUUUCCUAUCUGUCUGCUUAUGCUAGAUGAAUAAGUGGCUGGCUUAUUGUGACUUUUUCUGGAUUUUUUCAUCAGGAUUCAGUCCGACACAUCC
This 668-nucleotide long non-coding RNA is filed under the name Sarcophilus harrisii (Tasmanian devil). RNAcentral describes it as "lncRNA (ENSSHAG00000030721.1)". Lineage: Eukaryota; Metazoa; Chordata; Mammalia; Dasyuromorphia; Dasyuridae. The record is from RNAcentral.